GAUGAGAGAGGUUGCCGAUGAAUUUCUUCAAAAACUUCACUGAAAAAGGGGAAAAAUAGAAAUUGUUAUCAAAACUCCAAAAAAGUCGUUAUCUACUCCUCCGUUUUAAAAGCAUCAUAAAGAAAUGACUUUGGAAAUGAGAUUUUUGAAGUAAUGGGCUUAGCUAAGUUGGCUAAAACGGAUGUGCUCUCAACUCUGCACUUGAGUUCAAAUCCUCAUCUCCGCAAUUUAGAUUAGAUUAAAAUAAAAUAUCGCUUGUAUAAAAUAAAAAAAUAAAAAAAUAAAACCUUACUGAAAAUGACUCAACUUGUGACCUAAAUGCACUUGUAUGUCGUGCAAUGGCACACGUGCUCUGUUUUUUGUUUUGGUUGCUAAAGGGGGCCCAAAAGACCAAACCGAGAGCAUGACUUUCUCACUUUCUAAAAAUUAGAAACUAUUCCAGACAUCAGCUUAAAGCGUCAUGCAUGGAGUGUGAUGAAGGGAUCCUUGAUUCAAUUCCCAUAUGUAAUGAAAAAAAAAACUAUUUCU
RNAcentral lists this long non-coding RNA (528 nucleotides) under Prunus persica (peach). RNAcentral describes it as "long non-coding RNA (PPER_LNC003077)". Lineage: Eukaryota; Viridiplantae; Streptophyta; Magnoliopsida; Rosales; Rosaceae. The record is from RNAcentral.